CGUGGUGAGUAUAUAUCGGAAACGUGCCCAGAUAGGAGGGGGAUAACUACUCGAAAGAGUGGCUAAUACCGCAUACCCCCUACAGGGGAAAGGGGGGGAUCGUAAGACCUCUCACUAUCGGAUGGGCCCAUAUCGGAUUAGCUAGUUGGUGGGGUAAAGGCUCACCUAGGCAACGAUCCGUAGCUGGUUUGAGAGGAUGACCAGCCACACUGGAACUGAGACACGGCCCAGACUCCUACGGGAGGCAGCAGUGGGGGAAUUUUGGACAAUGGGGGAACCCUGAUCCAGCCAUCCCGCGUGUAUGAUGAAGGCCUUCGGGUUGUAAAGUACUUUCGGCGGAGAAGAAGAGGUACGGCUAAUACCGGUGGUUGCUGACGUUAUUCGCAGAAUAAGCACCGGCUACUACGUGCCGCAGCCGCGGUAAUACGGAGGGUGCAAGCGUUAACGGGAUUUACUGGGGCGUAAAGCCGUGUGUAGGCGGUUCGGAAAAG
RNAcentral lists this ribosomal RNA (491 nucleotides) under Alcaligenes sp. RNAcentral describes it as "bacterial SSU rRNA". It matches the Rfam family "Bacterial small subunit ribosomal RNA", at positions 100 to 588 of the family's 1533-position model. Lineage: Bacteria; Pseudomonadati; Pseudomonadota; Betaproteobacteria; Burkholderiales; Alcaligenaceae. The record is from RNAcentral.